AUUGUGCUGUUUCCCUAAACAUGAUUCAAUCAUGAAACAUCCUUGUAAAUAGUCUUGUUGUUAGAUGGACAUGUUUCAAUCAUGACCACAUUACAUGAAAUAGUUGCAAUGUAUGGAAAAGCUCCUCCUACUUUUUUGAUACUAAAUUACCCCUCCCAAUCCUUUGCCCGGGAAAAGCAAUUAUACUGCAGAAGAAGAAGGCCCGAUUUUAUCAGUGCUGCCUGGAACUUUAAGGAGGCAAGUGGCAGUGGUGCCGGGUAGAAGUAUCAAACUGAGAAUAAUGGCUUCACCCUGCAUACUCAAAGUCAUAUUGGUGGACAACACCUGCCAGAGGCUAACACUACCAUGUGGACUUCCUCAAUCUGUGAGUGAGCUUAUGGAAGAAGUACAGCGCCAGUGUGGACUGACCUACACCUUCAACCUACAGUUUAUGGAUCCACUCUUUAAUGAUGACUUCAUGAAUCUGACCUCAGUAUCUGAAAUACAAAACAGAGGCACUAUUAAGGUGGUAAAUCUGUCAGAUCCAACCAUUUUACAGUCACCUGUUUCAUCUGCUGGUUGUCGUUCACCGUCAACUUCAAGUUUUUCUGGUGUGAGCUGUCCUGAUACAGACAUUCUUUCUUCAACUGAGUCUCAGUCUGAGCCAUCCACUUCAAGGUCAUUGUGGCCAGACAAGUUUUGUGUUCCUCAGUUUUCCUUUGACUCUGAAUUAAAACUUGACCGAGCCAAUGCAGAAUAUAAAGAAAAUGGGACACUUCUGACUCCAGAUAACAAACUUUUGUCAAACAUUCUCGAUGGACUUGUGCAAGAAAUUGUUCAUUAUGGACUUUAUAUAACCGACAACCAGUUCAACAGUGUGGGUGAGGCGCUCAUACUAAAGCAUCCCUGUC
Archocentrus centrarchus (flier cichlid) is the source of this 890-nucleotide long non-coding RNA. RefSeq lists it as uncharacterized. The record is from RefSeq and is a predicted model, not a curated record. The transcript has 3 exons. Lineage: Eukaryota; Metazoa; Chordata; Actinopteri; Cichliformes; Cichlidae.